Molecule: unclassified non-coding RNA, 414 nt
Filed under: Hevea brasiliensis (rubber tree)
Lineage: Eukaryota; Viridiplantae; Streptophyta; Magnoliopsida; Malpighiales; Euphorbiaceae
Source: RNAcentral
GUCAAACUCUCCACAAUAAUUAGGGGCUGAGAAUAUAGUCACUAGUUGUCUGUCAGCGAAAAACUCGUAACCAUCUUCCACGACCUGGUGGGCACGGCAAAUGAGGUCAAGAUCUAGCUUCUGAAGAUACUCUGUCACCUUAUCUGGACCAAAUGUGUAGGAAACACCCCUAUCAUUCAUUCCCCACCCUCUAAUGUCCCUACAAGGAUCUGACCAUAAAAGAUCACAAAGCAGUCCAGUUUCUGGAACAUCAGUUGGUCGAUGGAGGUUCCGUAUCUGAUCCAGAUGAUGAAGGUCGGGGGAGAGUCCACCAUGCAUGCACAAUAUCUUUUCAUCAACCAGAGCUGCCACAGGCAGGCAGUUAAAACAUUCUGUGAAUAUCUUCCACAAUCGAACAUUGAACCUUCGUUUGCA